RNAcentral lists this ribosomal RNA (403 nucleotides) under uncultured bacterium. RNAcentral's name for it is "partial 16S ribosomal RNA". It matches the Rfam family "Bacterial small subunit ribosomal RNA", at positions 30 to 526 of the family's 1533-position model. The record is from RNAcentral.
AUUGAACGCUGGCGGCAGGCCUAACACAUGCAAGUCGAGCGAGCGGCGGACGGGUGAGUAAUGUAUGGGGACUGCCCGAUAGAGGGGGAUAACUACUGGAAACGGUCGCUAAUACCGCACACUCUCGGAUAACCCUCAGGGGAUUAGCUAGUAGUGGAGGUAAUGGCGCACCUAGGCGCCGAACCCUAGCUGGUCUGAGAGGAUGAUCAGCCACACUGGAACUGAGACACGGCCCAGACUCCUACGGAGGCAGCAGUGGGGAAUAUUGCACAAUGGGCGCAAGCCUGAUGCAGCCAUGCCGCGUGUAUGAAGAAGGCCCUAGGGUUGUAAAGUACUUUCAGUCGGGAGGCGUUACCGGCAGAAGAAGCACAGGCUAACUCCGUGCCAGCAGCCGCGGUAAUUC